CUUAGUUCUCCACAAAAUCAUUCCAUCUUUAAUCUCCUUUUUGCCAACACCUCAAAUGUAAAGUUUUUCCCUGAAUACAGAGGCUGGUAUUAUCUGAUAAUGGAAUCAAUUUACAAUCAUUAUUUUGGACCACUAAGCCCCGCAGAAAGAGCUGUUAGAUUGUAAAACCCUUAUUCAACCGCUUUAAUUCCUAUUGUAGCUUUCAAGAUGGUUGAAGUUACUUUAAAACCAGCAACUUGAUUCAGAUGCUGUAACUGAGUAAAUUCUAAAAAAGGCAUCCAAGGGGAAGAUGGCGGUGUUAAACCAGGUUACAAAUUUAAGUCUCCCACCCAAGAACCCAGAACACAAAGAGCCAAAGCAAAUACCAUAAGGUAUUCCUUCUGAUAACUCUACCAAUCAACCACUCCAGAAGGGUACUUGUAGUUGUAUUAGCAGCAUCGCUCCAGAUGUCACCAGCUCUCUAAUGGGGUUCUGGGGUGUUUCUAUGUACAAUAGCAGCAUUGUCCCAGAUAUAUGAACAAUAUUGCAGUACAUGGGCCUCACAGCCAUUAUCUAAAAUACAAAAAUAUCUUACCGCUGGAGUUUUUGAAGAAAUUCAGUUUAAUCAUCUGCUUCAUGGACAUUUUCUGAAAGGCAAGAAUAAAAAUAAUGAACUGAUGAUGAUAACUAAUGACGGUGAUGAUGGUGCUGGUGAUAGUAGUAGUAGUGGUGAGGAUGAUGAGAGUAAUACUGGUUUCAAAUUUUGGCACAUGACCUGUAAUUUCAAGGGAGGGGGCAAGUCGAUUACACUGCCCCCAGUGCUAGGAUGAAAGGAUGAAAGGCAAAGUUGACCCUAGUGGAAUUUGAAUUCAGAACGUGAAGAUGGACAAGAUGCUGCUAAGCAUUUUACCUGGCGUCCUAAUGAUUCUGCCAGCUCACCACCUUGGUGACGACUAAUAAUGACAACAAUGUUAUCAUUGAAUAUCAAUGAGCACUGCAACCAUGCACACUGACGCCACCACAACCAAUAACAUCUCCAUCACCACUACUAUGCCACUCUACUGUCAUCAUCACAAACCACCACCAUACCAUCACCAUUAUCACUGCUACAACAAAGAAUCUUGUACAAAUGCUACAAUCACCACCACCAAAUAACUACUGCUGCUAUCACCAUCACUAGUGCACAACCACUGCUGUCCCACAACUACCAUCACCACUAAUAUCACACAACUAUAGUUAAUCCUUUUGUUACCAUAUAUCUGUUGAACUACAUUGCAUUCGUUUCAAUUAAUUUGGAAAAUAAUAAAGAAUUUGAUAUA
Octopus bimaculoides (California two-spot octopus) is the source of this 1298-nucleotide long non-coding RNA. RefSeq lists it as uncharacterized. NCBI's taxonomy places the organism in Eukaryota, Metazoa, Mollusca, Cephalopoda, Octopoda, Octopodidae. The record is from RefSeq and is a predicted model, not a curated record.